AUGGUUAGGAUUGGGAAGGCACCUGAGGAGAGGGAGAUGAACCCUGAUAGGAAAACAGCACUUGAAUUGUCAGUUCGCGCUUAUGCAGAGACAAAAUCUGGGCCAGUUGUCAAUCCAACAAUUGACACAUCUUUUGACUCGUUGGAUGAAGCCUAUGAGUUCUACAACCUCUAUUCAUGGGAAUAUGGUUUCGGGGUGAGGCUUGCGAAAAGCAGACUGAAUGUUAAUCGGAAGAGAUGUAUGCAAGAAAUAAUGUGUGCUUGUGCGGGCAAACCAAUGAGGGAAAACAGUCGAUCAUCAAGGUGCGGGUGUGAAGCCAUGAUUAGAUUGCUCCGUUCAAAUGACAACGGUUGGUACAUACCAGAGUUCAAAUCUGGCCAUAACCACCCGCUGUCUGUGACAUGUGGAGAAAAAAUGCAUUGGAAGUCACACAGGCACAUCGAUAGAUACACAAAGGAUCUGGUGAAACAACUCCGUGUUAAUAAUGUUGGUCUUGGGAAGGUUUUCAGCAUUGUGGGGAGUUUUUUUGGCUCAGUUCAAAAUGUGCCAUUUACCAAGCGUUCAUCAAAGACACUGUGUAGGAAGCUGAACAAGGACCAGUCAGACUCUGACGCUAUGAAAACAAUGGAAAUUCUGGCUGAUAUGAAAGCAAAUGAUCCAGACUUCAAUUACACCGUGCAAGUAGAUGAAGACAGCAGGAUAAAAACACUCAUGUGGGUUACGAGUAGGGGGUGUGAUCAGUAUAGGUAUUUCGGUGAUGCAAUUACAUUUGACACAACAUACAGGACCAACCUAUAUGACAUGUCGUUUGGUCUUUUCGUUGGUGUCAACAAUCGCUUCCUGAGUAUAGUCUUUGGAGGGGUCAUGAUGAGAGAUGAGAAAGAAGAAUCUUUCAAGUGGGUGUUCCGGGAGUUCAUACGUAUGGUUGGUGGGAAGCAUCCGCAAACCAUACUUACAGACCAAGCGCGCUCUAUGGAAAUUGCAAUCGAGGCAGAAAUGCCAAACACAGUACAUCGUUGGUGCAAGUGGCAUGUCCUGAAAAAAGCGAAAGAGUCAAUGGGUGUGCUUUGGAGCAAGAACAGUGAAUUCAAAAUGGAGUUUCACAAGCUUGUACAUCACAUGAACGCGGAAGAGGAAUUUGAGCAAGGGUGGCAGCAGAUGUUGGACAAGUACUCACUCAAGAAACAUCUGUUUCUGACGCAGAUAUACGAAGUCCGGCAUAAAUGA
This 1227-nucleotide ribosomal RNA is filed under the name Triticum aestivum (bread wheat). RNAcentral describes it as "partial small subunit ribosomal RNA". The record is from RNAcentral. Lineage: Eukaryota; Viridiplantae; Streptophyta; Magnoliopsida; Poales; Poaceae.